UUUUUUUUCCCCUGCUAAAUUACAAAAAAAUAAAAAAAAAACUUCUUAUAAGUAUUUAUUUUUUUAUAUUUUAUUUUUUAAUAAUUCAAAUUUUUGUAUUAAUCUCUCUCCCCAUCGGGAUUCUAUUAUUAUUUUGUCCAUUUCUAACAAUUUAUAUCAAAAAUAUGCUUCAAAAUAACAGAAAUAUAUUAAAAUAUUAUUUUUUAUUUUAUAGAAGAACUAAGAAGAAUUUGGUUAUUUUGCCUUCUCUGCUAACGCCGUACCUUUCUAAAAAUAUUUCUAAACUUUUAAGAGAGUACAAUAUAAAUUUUUGAAAAUUAGAGAGAGAGAAAAUAAAAAAAUAGAUAUUUAUAGAGAAUUGUAUAUAAUUUAGCCCUUUUUUUUAAUAUAUAAAAACUUACCUGAAUUAUACAUAAUUUUAAUUUAGUCAGCCAACACUUUAAAAUUUUAAUCUUACUAUUUAAUUCUUUAUUUAUUUAAUUUAAGCCGGUCACCGAUAUAUAAUUUUAAAUUUUAAAUAUGUUAUUUAUUUUUAUAAAUUUAAUGAGUAUAUCUCAUGUAAUUUUUUCAGAUUUACAAAUUUAUUAAAGUAAAUAAUAAGCUUAAAUUUUGAUGUUACAAAGUAGAAGAAGAGUAAUAAAAAAGUUAAAAAUGAUUGCGGCGUUAAAUCGAAUACUCAAAAAGAUGUAGAUGUCAUCCAGCUCGACAGAACUUAACCCAUUCCGUUGCCAGUUUCCUACUGCGUUAAGCAGUAAAACUUAAUUAUUAAGUUGUGUAGUUUGUAAAUUAUUAUAUAAUUUGUUUGCAAGAAAAAUAUUUCUUUAAUUUUAUAUAUUAUUGAUGCAUUUAUAUGCAUACUUUUAAGAGUGGGAUCCUCUCACAAGGAUAACAUUAUGGAGAAUCCAAAAUAUUUGAUAUUACAAAGUGUAGUGUUGCAAAUAUUUUGGGGUAAACUUCAAAUAUCCCCAUAUGGUUUUAUACUUUUUCACUUUAACACUCUGUGGUUUACAGUGUAUCAAGUUAGCCCCUAUGGUUUCGCACUUUUUCACUUUAGUAUCAUGUGGUUUAAAGUGUAUCAAUUUAGUACCAUGUGGUUUCAUUUUUCUUUUUCUUAUUAUCUAUUUCACUAAUUUUUUUUCGUUAAAUCAGUGACAAAGUUAAAAUUAAAGGGUACUAAAGUGAAUAUCUGAUAAACCUAGGUAGGGUAUCUGAAGUUGUUUGUAUAUAAUUUAACAAAAUAUUAACAAAGGAAAAAAAAUGAGUGACAAAACUAAAACUAAAGGGUACUAAAGUGAAUAUUCGAUAAAUCUAUAUAGGGUAUCUGAAGUUUUUUUAUAUAUAAUUUAACGAAAUAUUAACAAAGGAACCGACGGAAAGAAAAAAAUGAAACCACAGGGUACUAAAAUAAGAAAGUGCAAAACCACAAGAUAAUAAAUUGAUACACUUUAAACCACAGGGUACUAAAGUGAAAAAAUGCGAAACUACAAGGGUGGUAUUUAAAGUUGUCCCAAUAUUUUAUAAUGUUGUCUUCUCUCUUUUUCUCUCUCUCUCUCUCUCUCUCUCUCUUCUCUCUUAAUUUUUUUUUCCCAAAAGAGUAAUGUUACGAUUAUUUCAGAAUAUUGACUUUAUAUAUUGGCUUUAUAUAUUUUUGAUGUAUUUGCAUGUGCACUUCAAGAGUGAGAAAUAUACCACCAUCUUCUUAGGAUAACAAUUUUGUGGAUCCAAAAUGUUUGGCAAUAUAAAAGUAGUGUUACAAUUUUUCUAAAAUAUCGUCUUCUCUCUCAUUUUUAAAAUUUUGAAAAAAAAAAUAUUAUUAUAGAUUUUUUAAAAUAUUGUCUUUAAAUAUUGCUAACGUAUUGCCACAUUUUUGAAAGAUUCA
This 1879-nucleotide long non-coding RNA is filed under the name Ananas comosus (pineapple). RNAcentral describes it as "long non-coding RNA (ACOM_LNC002922)". The record is from RNAcentral. Lineage: Eukaryota; Viridiplantae; Streptophyta; Magnoliopsida; Poales; Bromeliaceae.